GAUGAACGCUGGCGGCGUGCCUAAUACAUGCAAGUCGAGCGAACGGACGAGAAGCUUGCUUCUCUGAUGUUAGCGGCGGACGGGUGAGUAACACGUGGAUAACCUACCUAUAAGACUGGGAUAACUUCGGGAAACCGGAGCUAAUACCGGAUGAUAUUUUGAACCGCAUGGUUCAAAAGUGAAAGACGGUCUUGCUGUCACUUAUAGAUGGAUCCGCGCUGCAUUAGCUAGUUGGUAAGGUAACGGCUUACCAAGGCAACGAUGCAUAGCCGACCUGAGAGGGUGAUCGGCCACACUGGAACUGAGACACGGUCCAGACUCCUACGGGAGGCAGCAGUAGGGAAUCUUCCGCAAUGGGCGAAAGCCUGACGGAGCAACGCCGAGUGAGUGAUGAAGGUCUUCGGAUCGUAAAACUCUGUUAUUAGGGAAGAACAUAUGUGUAAGUAACGGUGCACAUCUGGACGGUACCUAAGCAGAAAGCCACGGCUAACUACGU
This 496-nucleotide ribosomal RNA is filed under the name uncultured bacterium. RNAcentral describes it as "partial 16S ribosomal RNA". It matches the Rfam family "Bacterial small subunit ribosomal RNA", at positions 28 to 506 of the family's 1533-position model. The record is from RNAcentral.